GACUCCUGAUUCAAUGUAGUCGCCGUGGCUCCUCAGCUUCCCGAUCUGCUGUAGUGUCUCCUGACUGCGACCAUCUAAACAAGGACUGGCCGGGUGUUUGCAAGAGAGGUCAGCCUGGAAAAGUCCUGUGAUUGUCCCCAAAGAUGCAUUUUCCUGUGGCAUUGCUGUAUCUGACCCUGGUGAUCUUGAUCAGGUAACCUGCAGAGAGAUUCUUUUUCCCAGAGGUGGAUUGAACAGGUGAGAAGCCGUCCCCCCUCGAAUGAGGGCUCCCACAGUGCAUCUGGCACCCACCUCACAGGUGAACCUUCCC
Condylura cristata (star-nosed mole) is the source of this 310-nucleotide long non-coding RNA. RefSeq lists it as uncharacterized. NCBI's taxonomy places the organism in Eukaryota, Metazoa, Chordata, Mammalia, Eulipotyphla, Talpidae. The record is from RefSeq and is a predicted model, not a curated record. The transcript has 3 exons.